This 7689-nucleotide long non-coding RNA is filed under the name Sus scrofa (pig). Its description in RNAcentral is "lncRNA (ENSSSCG00025047744.1)". The record is from RNAcentral. Lineage: Eukaryota; Metazoa; Chordata; Mammalia; Artiodactyla; Suidae.
AGGUAACUGUCUGCAAGGACCUUCUCAUAAAUUUCGCUCAGAGAGGAGGCCUUCUGUGAAGUUGCCAUUAGACAUUGUCAUUCAUCUGUGGAGACUGAGGGCCAGAUAGUUUCAGCUGUGUCUGGAUUGAAUGGCGCCAGCACUCAUCUUUCCUGACAGUGGCUGAACCAGAGGAGCAUUGACAUUUUUCAUGAUGAUAGCUGGAUAUAAAUACUUGGAUCAUCCUGGAGACUCCACUGUCCAGCCCAGUAUUUCUCUUUAGCCAGUUCCUUCUCCCGCUAUAUUUGGCUGCAGCCCAUUGUGGAAAACUCUGAUGUCGAACUCCUAUGGCUGUAUAAACACCAGAGCUUAGUUCAGGGAGUCCCUCAGAUUGCCAACAAGUAUGAACUGAAUGAUGACACUGUUCAAAAUGCCUUCCUUGCUAUUCUCCUGCAUGACCAAGUAUCCUGGCUUUUUAGAUGCAGCCAUUAAACAUUAAGUUCUGGACGCUGGGAAAUCCAAGAUCAUGACGUUGGCAGGUCUGAUGCCUGGUGAGAGCCCACUUCCUCAUUGACGACUGUCUUCUCACUGUAAUCUCCCAUGGCAGAAGGGGCAAGCCAGCUCUCUGAGGCCUCCUUUAUAAGGGAACCAAUUCCAACUAAUCACCUCUCAAGUGCACAGAUUACUAAGCGCACUUUGGAACCAUGGAGGAAGGUGGCUGAGUGUCUCUGCCACGUGGGAAAGUGAACCACAGGGAUGGCCUUGGGCUGCUGGAACCACUUUGCCCAGACACAGAGGGCUGGAGGUGCCUGGGUGGUUAGCAUUGCUGUUCCUACCCCUAACUCCAGCCAGCGGCGUCACGGAACCAGGACCAGUGACUGACAGAAUAAGGUUAUGGAUUCUUGGGAUGAAGACCACAGAAGGAAAGUGCCAUUGUUCGUUUCUUCACUGUAAAGUUGCUUUUUCUACUCUUUUCCAUACUGUGUCCUUUGGAAGGAAGUCACUGUGUACAGUCCAUACUUACGGAGUGGGGAGGCUUUUCUGGGAAUCUGAUUUCAUGGAGCCUGCUAUUUGACACCACUUCCUCGAUGUUAAGCCCGAUUUGGAUUCCUCCACCUUGAAGACUCUCUUCACUAAGAAACUGAUGUAGGAACUGUUCUUGGAGAAAGAGGCUGGUAUGAUGAGAGAAUCAAGAGUCAGAUGAAUCCUCUUCCUAAAGGUCCUCCAACUAUGAAGUAGUGAACUGGGGGCUGAAACCCGCCUCUCUCACUCUCAGUUGGUGCUCUUCGGUUGUGAACUUAAGAGGCUGCUAUGGUUUAGAAGAAAGAACUCAGGUGGCCAUUUGUUGAUUUUUAUCACUGAAAUAUGGAACUUCUUCCAGACUUACCUUCCUCAUUCCUACAAUAUUGGAUAAUAAUAUUCUCCUCACACAGCUGUCUCAAGUAUUGAAGAAGAUUGUGGAUAUAAAGUACUUUUAGAACGCCAUGUUCGUGGGAGUUGUCAAACAUAAGCGAAUUAUACCAAGACAGUGGAAGGAGAACUGAGAGAAACGAUAACUGACAAGGUAAGCUGAUUUAAAUAUUUAUUGAUUUCAUUUCAACAAAUAAUGAUUAUUGUGAUAUUACUUGCAGUCAUUUGGUGCAUGUGUAAGAGGAGGAGGCGGGGCAGUUUUGCUUAACAGUCUGUUUUGCCCCUUUAUCUUUUAUCAGGCAAGUUCUGUCUUCCAUCAACUCCUUGUAACUCGGUUUAAGUCUCUUUCUUCUAAGAACAGAGGGAUCCCCUAGGAAGUAGACAUAUAAAUGAGAAUUGAUUUUAAGUUUCAGAUGUUUACCUUGUUUCUGAGUAAGGGAGUGCUUGCCCUUCAACUUUCAGUCUAUUCAAAAUCCCUAUAUGCAGCCAAUAUUAAGUGUUUCCUGUAUACCACUUGAUGAGCACUGGGAAUAGAGGGGUGAAUAUUAUGGAGACGUUCCUUGUGCCUGUAUAGCAUGCAUUCGAAUGUCAGAAACUAGGUAAUACAUGCAUAGAGAUGUUGCAUCGUAAUGAAAGAAAAUGUGUACUGAUAUUUAACUGUUUUAAAUUGAGUGAUCUUGGGAGUUCCCUGAUGGCCUAGUGGUUAAGGGCUUGGUGUUGUCACUGUUGGGCAACUGUUGUCACUGUUGGGGCUUGGGUUUGAUCCUUGGCCUUGGAACAUCACAUGAUGUGGGCAUGGCCAAAAAAUAAAAAUAAAGAGAGAAAGAAAGAAAAAAAGAGGUCUUGGAGGCUCUUUCUGAAGGAGAAUAUUGAUGUUGAGACACAAAUGACAAGUAAGAGGCAGUAUGAAUGGUUGAGAGGACAGAAUGUUCUAGUUGAACUGAGAAGCAAGUGCAAAAGCCCUGAGGUGGGAGCAUACCUUAUGAUCAAGGUAAGCAAGGAAUGGUUGAGUAAUUUUAGAGAAAAGCCUAAAUGCUAUUUCAUUUGACAUUUUAAAAAUUAUAUUGGGUCUAAAUUUAUGCUCUUAAAUGGUUCCAGAGUGCUUGGAAAUUGAAAGUUCAUUAAUGAAAAUUCUCAUUGGAUUAGGACUUUGGAAAUGGGUUAUUGCUUAAACAUAUUUCAAAUGAUUAUGGUGAAAAAUUACAUUUCACAAAUUGGUUAAGAAUUUUAGUAACAAUCAAGCCACUUCUGUUGAGUGAAAACCUACUAGGUGCUGUGUGUACUGUGAACAGGCUCUAUGAGAAAAUAUGAGUUAACAUAAGAUAGAACUUUUAACCUGAAGAUGAGCAGAGUUGAGAUGCUGGGAAGAUGUGUAAGCCCACAAAAAGAUGACUAACGACACAAAUUCAUAACAAGUUCAAAUAAAUCAUGACAUACUAACAAGGAAAGCAAGGGUGCUUACACCUCACAGUGCACAGGGUGGCUUCUUGAAGGAAAUGAAAUUGGAACUGGGAGGAAGAAUUAAGUGGCCAGAGCCUGGCAGAGUUUGUGGUAAUGAGCAGAAGUGAUGGGAAGCAGUGACAUAUCAAAGACUUAUGUCUUUCUUCCUUUUCUUCAUACCAUGAAGCUGAAUAAAAGUUUCACAAUUUGAUUUUUGCUUUUGGCACGAUUGAAAUACAUACCUAAAUCAUUAAGAAACUGUGUGAUCUCUUUCUAUGUUAUUUUACAACAAGGCUUCCUGUCCUACUAGACAGCAGCUCUAUGAAGAAAACUCUAGUCCCCCCGGUGUUAGUUUUUUAUUUUGAUGAAAUACAGAAUUUUAUUUUGAUGGUGCUUCACUAUUACAAAGAGAUGAAACAAAUAGAACUUCAUUCCAUAUUGACAAAUAAGAGGAAUAUUAUAGAAUGAUUCCCAUUGCUGCUAUCUACCCCAUUUUUUCUAUGAUGAAGUAGAUGACUUGGGGUUGCUGGGCCCCAAGUAUCCCAGCUCCCUUUACAGCAUCUUAAAUAGUGCUCCUUGAAUGUCAAUCAAAGGUAUAUCCAAAGUUACUGGACAUGUCUCUGUGGGACCUUCCUGAUCCUGAAAAAGGCCUCAAAGCAAAGAAAUACAGCUAAGUGAGCUGUUCAUGCAGUGGUAUAAAUGGAUUCUUGGCAAUUCAUUGGCUUUCUCUGGUCAUUGAGUCAGAGCCACACUGUUUGUUGAGGGUCGGUUUAGUAACUUCUACCUUUCAUCAUCUCCUUGGUAUUUCUCUGUAUUGGGGGCAAGCUGCUACAGACUGUCUGAGUUUGACCUCUCCUGAAAGGAUGAAUGCCUUGAUUUGUAUGCAUGUAUUUCUGUCAGAUGCUUUAAAUGAAGUCAUUAACCAAAAUGCAUUUCCAGAGUUCGGGUCAUUGAGUUGAGAAUCAAAUGAAAUACAUUUCUGGGUGAUGGAACAGUAAGGAUGAGAAGAGAACUAGAGCAGUGUGGUGUGCACAUAUGUAGCUACUGUCUUUGAUGCAGCACACAUAACUGACCCAAGAAAGCUAGUGCCCAGGUCACAGCUGCAGAGACACUCUUAAGAACCAUCAGUGACUUCACAAUGCCAUUACACCGGGUGUGAGGUGGUUCCUGGCAUUCAGCUUCCUGUUCUUCCAUCAAAAGGAAGACCUUUUCUGGCCAACAGGCUAGUCAGACUCCUCUAGCUUGCUAUACCUUGGUGCUAAGAGGUUCUGAUGAGGCAGUAUAGUCCUCACUCCUUUGUGUAAUAAGGUAAGGUUAAGGAAGAAAAAAGAAUUCAUAAGUGAAAAAUCGUUUUGUUUUUGUAAAGGGCCACAUGAAUGGUACAGAUCCAUCUUUCUCCCUGGGGCAGUGGACUCAGAUAACAGAUUUAACUAUAGCUACAUCUCUAUAUCUCCAAGUGACCUUGGACAAGUUCUUUGACUUGUCUAAACCUCUUUUAGUAUUUUGCUUUUUUUUUUUUUUUUUUUUUUUUUUUUUGCUUUUUAGGGCUGCAAUAGCAGCAAAUGGAAGUUCCCAGGCUAGGGGUGAAAUCCGAGCUAUAGCUGCCGGCCUACACCACAGCCACAGCAACGCCAGAUCCGAGCCACAUCUGUUACCUACACAACAGCUCAUGGCAAUACUGGAUCCUUAACCCAUAGAGUGGGGCCAAGGAUUGAACCCAUAUCCUCAAGAACCCUAGUUGGGUUCAUUAUCGCUGAGUCACAAUGGGUACUCCCUCAUUUAAUGAGUAUUGAUUGCAUAACCACUACGAAUCUGAUAUUGUUCUAGGAACUAGGGAUAAAGCAAAAAAUAGUCUCCAGCUUUCAUGGAACUUGCAAGGGUAUAGUAAACAAUAAACAGGCAAAGGCUUAGUAUGCCAGGUGGUUGAUAAAGGCCUUGGAGAAGAAGGAAGCAAGGCAGAUAAGGUAGGAAUUUCGGGGGGAAUGUGGGUUUUAUGGGGAAUGUUGAGAUUUUGUUAUCAGGAGAGCUGCAUUGAUAAUUAAGGGCUUUGAAGGAAUUAGGACCAGGUAGAUAUGUAUUAAAAGUUCAUUACAGGCAAAGAACACAGCAAGUGCAAAGGCGUGGAGGUGGUAUUGUAUGUGGAAUUCUGGAGAAAUAGAAGGAAGCCAGUAGGGCUGGCACAGAGAGAGAGAAAUAGGGAUACUGGUAGGAGAUGAAGUCAGUUAGUCCUGAGGCCAAGUUAGGGAGGUAGCCCUUUGCAUACUUAAACCUGCAUGGGAAUCCCUGGGGGCUGUUGUUGAAAUGUGGAUUCAGAUUCAGUAGGUCUGGAACGAGGCCUGGGCUUCUAGAUUUUGAACCUCUUCCAGGCAGACCACACUCUGAGUGGACUAGGUGUGGGGCUAUGUAAGCUAUUGUAAAUAAAGAUGUUAGCAUUGGCCCUGAGUGAGAUGGGGGGGGGCAUGGGAAUGUUUUGAGUGCCUCUUCAAGGCAUGGUUCUGGCUGUCACGAUAAUGAGGUGUCCAACGCCCUGACUGAUUUUGCACAUUGUCUGGGUUUUAGUCCUAGUGUCACCACUCACUCACUGCCUGUCUUUGGUAAGUUGCUUAAACUUCUUUUUCUCUCAACUUUUUGUUUUGAAAAAUGCUAAACCUAGAGAAAAGGUGAAAGAAAAGUACAAUUAAUGCUUUAUAUCCUUCACCUAGAUUGAUCAACUAUUAAUAUUUUUCUCUAUUUGCUUAUCUCAUACUCUUAAGUACAUAUUAUCUCAUUAUUAUUAACCAUUUAAGAGUCAGUUUUUGACAUAAUGACCCUUCAACCCUAACUAGUUCAUUAUGUAAGAAAAAUCUCCUAUAUAAAUACAAUGAACAGUCACAUUCAGAACAUUUGAUGUUGAUACAAUCAUCUAAUAUAAAAAUCUCAAUUUAAAUACAACCAAUUUCCUUCCCAAAUAUCCUUUAUAACAAUUUCCUUUUUCUGAUGUUGAAUCCAAUCCAGGAUAUUAUAUUGGAUGUUAUAUUGCUUUAGUUUUCACGUCUCAUUAGUCUUUUAACCUAGAACUGAAUUGCUUUACCUCGGCCUUUUUAAAAAAUGUAAAAAAAAUUUUUUUGAUGUUUUGUGCCAUUGUUAUUUUUGAAAAGUCUGCACCAGAGUUCUCUGGCAGCCUAGCAGUUAAGGAUCCAGCAUUGUUACUUCUGUCACUCAGGUCACUGCUGUGGUGUGAGUUCGAACCUUGGUCCGGGAACUUCCACAUGCCUGGGCAUGCCCCUUCUCCCUCCAAAAAAACCCUGGCUGGGCCAGUUGUUUUAUAGAAUGUCACCCAAUUUAGAUUAAAGGUUUGUAAUGAUUUAAUUCAGGUAUGCAUGAUUAGCAAAAGUACCAUGUAAGUGAUGUGUGCCUUGCUCUGUGCAAGCAUCCAGAGGCAUUUGAUGUCAGUUUGCUUCAUUUUAGUGAUGUUAACUUGGGUCACUUGCAUAAAGUGUUACAGCAGAUUUCUUCACUGUAUAGGUACCCAUUUUCCUUUGUAGUUAACAAGCUACCUGUAGAGAAAUACUACAUAAGUAGCCUUUCCCUCAACAAACUCUCAUCCAGUGGUUUUCCACCCAUGAAUAAUUCUCAUCUGAAAAAAUUAUUGCUUUAGAGGUUGCAAAAUGGUUAUUUUGCUAACUGUCAUUACUUGUUUUAUUAUUUGGCUAUGUAAAAGAGCUUUUUUAUUAUUUUGAUUUGUUCUAUUUGACCUUUUGACUUUAGUUUUAUUAUUCUGCCAUCUAGAAGAGCUUUCUCUUUAGCCUGUGUGUGUGUAUAUGCACGUAUGUAUCCAUCUGUGUAUCCAUGUCUGUAUCUAUCUACCUAUUCCUUGUCUUGAUAUGAACUUAUGGGUUCUUUAUUUAACAAUUCAGUUGUGCUAUAAACCAUUGCUGACAUCAUUAUUUUGAUGCCCAAAUUGUCCUUGUUUUGCCAGGAGGAGCAUCUUCAAUCUGGUUCCCAUGUUCUUUUCAGGUUUGAGUGCUUCCUCAAUUUCUUGCCCCACAAAAUAUUCUAGGUUCACUUUGUACUUGACCUUCCCCAACCCUGGACAGCCAUUUUUCCCAAAACCCUGGUUCCCUUUGUGCAGACUUGUUUAUAAGUACCAAUUUUAAAAAAAUUAAAAUAGAACUACCAUAGAAAUUAUGAAAUUAGAUGGCAAUAUAACUUGCAGAGUUAUUUUGAGGGUUAAAUGAGAAAAUUUGUGUAAAAGACUUUACAUUAUUUAUUUCAGCCAUUUCCAAGGCAGUAUAAAUCAAUGGAAACAUGGCUGAGAAUGACAGUAGAUGGAUUUAGAAAAUGUAAAUUAUGAUAUCCUCUGGGGGAACACAAAAGGUUAACAGAUUUACAUAACAGGUCCAUAAAUAUCUACUUUGCCUCCCAAUGUAUAGAAGAUAAACAGUUUGCCAUCACACAUGGCAUUUUAGCAUAAAGAGUUACCAAUCUGAUUCUCAAGUCCUUAUGCAAAUAAUACAGAAAAAAAUCAUACUCUCAAACAAAUUCUUAGUUUUGAUGAUGUGGGAAGAGAUUUUACAUAAGACUUUAAAUCCUAAAGCAUUUCAUUUAGAACUGUUUGCAAAAAGUUCUUUAAGGAGGAGGACUUCAUGUGGGGAGAGAUUGGUCCCAUUUAGACCCAGGCAUAGAAUCAAGUGGCAUGAGAACGUAAUACUAGUCUUACUAUGAAGAGGAGUUCUCAUUGCUUCAUCCAUCAUUUUUAAUUUUUCUGACUGUGAACCAUCAUACUUAGAAGGUUGGUCUUCAUAUGUGUUAACAUUUUCUUAGAAAUACUUUUUCUUUAUUAUGCAAUUAAUAGAUGUUCCUUGUAGACACAUUAGAAAA